Molecule: ribosomal RNA, 510 nt
Filed under: uncultured bacterium
Lineage: Bacteria
Description: bacterial SSU rRNA
Rfam family: Bacterial small subunit ribosomal RNA
Source: RNAcentral
ACGCGUGGGAACGUACCUUUUGGUUCGGAACAACACAGGGAAACUUGUGCUAAUACCGGAUAAGCCCUUACGGGGAAAGAUCUAUCGCCGAAAGAUCGGCCCGCCUCUGAUUAGCUUGUUGGUGAGGUAAUGGCUCACCAAGGCGACGAUCAGUAGCUGGUCUGCGGAUGAUCAGCCACAUCGGGACCGAGACACGGCCCAUAGUUCUACGGGAGGCAGCAGUGGGGAAUAUUGGACAAUCGCCGCAAGCCUGAUCCAGCCAUGCCGCGUGAGUGAUGAAGGCCCUAGUGUUGUAAAGCUCUUUUGUGCGGGAAUACUGACGGUACCGCAGAAUAAGCCCCGGCUAACUUCGUGCCAGCAGCCGCGGUAAUACGAAGUGGGCUAGCCUUGCUCGACCUACUGGGCGUAAAGGGUGCGUAGGCGGGUCUUUAAGUCAGAGGUGAAAUCCUGGAGCUCAACUCCAGAACUGCCUUUGAUACUGAGGAUCUUGAGUUCGGGAGAGGUGAGUGG